GAUGAACGCUGGCGGCGUGCUUAACACAUGCAAGUCGAACGGAAAGGCCCGGCUUUUGUGGGGUGCUCGAGUGGCGAACGGGUGAGUAACACGUGAGUAACCUGCCCUUGACUGUGGGAUAACUUCAGGAAACUGGGGCUAAUACCGCAUAGGAGAUCCUGCUGCAUGGUGGGGGUUGGAAAGUUUCGGCCGUUGGGGAUGGACUCGCGGCUUAUCAGCUUGUUGGUGAGGUAGUGGCUUACCAAGGCUUUGACGGGUAGCCGGCCUGAGAGGGUGACCGGCCACAAUGGGACUGAGAUACGGACCAGACUCCUACGGGAGGCAGCAGUGGAGAAUAUUACACAAUGGGCGGAAGCCUGAGGCAGCGACGCCGCGUGCGGAAUGACGGCCUUCGGGUUGUAAACCGCUUUCGCCUGUGACGAAGCGUGCGUGACGGUAAUGGGUAAAGAAGCACCGGCUAACUACGUG
Molecule: ribosomal RNA, 468 nt
Filed under: uncultured bacterium
Lineage: Bacteria
Description: partial 16S ribosomal RNA
Rfam family: Bacterial small subunit ribosomal RNA
Source: RNAcentral